UGACCUACAGUUUGGGGAGCACAUUGUCCAACUGUUCUAAGCACUGCCCCGAGCACAUCAUCCCCUUAGACUGGGGCUCCGACCCAUCAAAUGCUUCGAAAGCCCUCGGUUUCAGGACCCCAGCCUGGGAAACAGGUGGCCCAGGCCCUGCUCCACGCCCCCGGCUGUCAGGAGCUCACUGCCUGCUGCUUUAACUGACUGAGAUAUUAAAGAGUUCUUCAACGUUCCCAGUAGAAAUAACCAUGCUGCCACGUGCAUCCUCCAUGCUGAUCCUGCCCUUGGAAGCCAGGAAAAACCCUAUGGUCAUGUAUGGCUUUCAAGAGAGGAAAGAGUUGUUGACUCCAUCCAGAUGGGGACUGCGAGGGACUGGUCUGCCCUGGAGCCGGGGAAGGCUUCCAGUGGGUGCAGAGAACCAGAGCAGGAGCCUCUGAUAGACUUGCGACGAUGCGUGUCCACUGGGAGCUCAGGAAGCAUAAAAGGAGCAUGUGCAGGUUUCUCCUGCAAAAGCCCGGGUCAGAGGCACAUCUCCAGCAGGACUGGCAUUCAGAAGGGCUACUUUGGGGAGACAGCUUCUUAAAAAAGGAGCAAUUUACGAUCUCAACAUUUUUGGAGAGAACGUGUUUUAUUCAUUCCCUGCCACAACCCACCUGUUGCAUAUGGCGCUGUGGGCAGCGCAGGAGUUACAGACUUACAGUUACUGGUUGUUCUUCAGACAGGCUGUGCCUUGUCUGGGGGAGGCGCUGAGAGAUGUUUCCUCAAACAGCCAAGAGCAAGAAGGCUAGAGGGAGUGCAUCCGUCAUGCUGGGGGUGCACCAAGGGUCAAGCGUAGGCAAACACAAUUCUGUGCACUCAAUGUGGCAUAUGGAACAUGUACAGAGAACCCGCCAGGAUGGUCACCAAAAUGGAUGGAAAAUGGGAGAAAGGAGAGGAGACGAUGGGGAGAGGCCAGGACAAUUUCCUGCACCAAUUGUCCUGGGUAAUCAGGGCAGUCUCCCUGAGCAGACUGGUAUCCCGGCUUAUGUUUUAUUGCUUGGCCAGUGCACGGCGAGUCUGUUAGGUUUACAUUAAGGCGCAGCACUCAGGAAAACAGCUGCCUUCAAAACAGUGAUUUUUGCUUUCUGGAGCUGCCCUAUCCUUUAGCAGUCUCACCUUCACUCUGCGGUCAAGAAGAUCUGCCUCUUGAAUGCACAAGUCAGAGCAAAACCGUGUCAAAGUUUUUAAACCUAUAACGUUUAACCACACUGUGGAUUCACAAUGUCAAAAAGCCUCAAUCGUCUUCCAAACUGGAAAGUUUAAAGAUACUUAGCACAAAGUUGGAUCAUGGAUCCACUUUUGAAAAAGAAACUUUCCAUUUCAGCUAGAAGAGCAUCACUUUAAGUCGGAGCACUGCCUGAAAGACUGUGUAAACUAUGACCACGAAAUAAGGAACUUUUUAAACAAACACAUUAGAAUGUCUAACCCAAAUAAGUGUCAGUCUUGGGAGCAUCUUUUUCGUCAAAUGAUGCCAUUAUUGCUCAAAGCUUUUUCAAAAUUCUUCUUUCCGAGGAGCCUUCAAAACAACUUGCACAAAAGCAGAAGGAUGUCACCUGACUUGAUAGUCACAGGUUUGCUUUCUUGAUGCAGUGCAAUUUUCUUCUUUUUACACUUUUUGCAACUUUAACCCUGCCCUUCUUCCCUCUUUCACGUCAUGAACUAAUAACCAAGGGAUCCCAAGAGAUGUGUUGUAAUGGUGCUACCUGAGAAAGGAAAGGUCUGGGAGAAAGAGCAUGGGGCUAGUUAUAGCUCAGAAUAGGAGAGACCAAAGGAGCAUGGCCACUGCCUCAAUCCCUUUGGGUAUUGAGUGACUAUAAGAAAUGUAAUUGGAUAACUGGCCAAGUGUCCUCAACACAAAUCAUCUCAAGUUGCACCCCCAUUAAGUCAGGGGAUAUUCCCUGGCUAUAGCCAAGAGGUCGCAUCAUGCAUCUAACAGAGAUCUGGGUUUGGUCAAAGUCUUUUUUUGCAACAGACCAGAACAUGACCGGCCAGCCAUGCUGAAGCUGGUUGCCGCUGGAUGGCAGGGAAUUUUGAGGCAGAGAUAAUGUAGCAAAGAACCAGUUGUUGUUUGGAUUCCCUCAAUGGCAGUAGCUGUAAGAGAGUCUUCUAAGUGUUGGAUUGGACCAAUGUUUGGGGAAAGAUUAGUUUGAGAGAGUUCUAGUUGUGUGGAGCUACAAGAGGAGAAAGAACCAGCUCAGGGUAGGCAAGAAUAACAGAGAACCUGAGGUGUGUACCCAGAUUUGGAACCAACUGGAAGACCUAGUUGGCUUGCUGUAAGGAUUAAAUGAGAUAUUUAUGCAAAUAC
Long non-coding RNA from Equus quagga, 2338 nucleotides. RefSeq lists it as uncharacterized. Lineage: Eukaryota; Metazoa; Chordata; Mammalia; Perissodactyla; Equidae. The record is from RefSeq and is a predicted model, not a curated record. The transcript has 3 exons.